RNAcentral lists this small RNA (3275 nucleotides) under Plasmodium reichenowi. The record is from RNAcentral. Lineage: Eukaryota; Apicomplexa; Aconoidasida; Haemosporida; Plasmodiidae.
UGGUAAUUUAUUAAACAAUUUUUAUGGUAUAAUUUAAAUUUUUUUUUUUUUUCUUAUUUUCGUAAAAAAAAAUUAAUAUGAAAUGUUUAAAUAUAAUUAUAUUUUGUUCUUUAUAGAAUAAAUUAUUCAAAAUUUUAUACGCUCAAAAUAUAAUAUGUUAAGACUUAAUAAAUAUAUAUAUAUAUAUAUAUAUAUCAAUAUAUGUUUUAUAUAAAAAUUACAUGUUCAGCUUAAAAAAUUAAAGCGAUGUUUUUGUAAUAGUUAUAAUUCUUUUUUUUUUUCUUUUUGAUGUCCUCUUUAAGUACACAACUGAUUUUAUUCAUAGUUAUAAAGACCAAGAAUAAUUUAUACCUGAAUAAAAAGAAAUAACCCUGAAUAAAUUAAAAUGUCCUACUUUUAUAUAUAUUUAAAAUAUAUAUAAUAUAACGCUGAAUUAUUAAAAGAGAAAAUAAAGAAACUAAAUGAAAAUAAAUUAGAAUGGAAAUAAAAUAAAAGAUGAACAAUGAAAAUGAAGAGAAAAGAAAAGAAAAGAAACGAAAAUAAAAUAAAAGGUGAAAAAUGUAAAUAAGAGAAAAGAAAAGGGGGAAUGUUUUAAAAUUACAUAUAAUCAAUUAUUAAAAUAUAUAUAUAUAUAUAUAUAUAUAUAUAUAUAUAUAUAUGAAUGAGGCCCCUUUCAUUUCACUAAAUAUUUAUAUAUAUUUGUUUUGCAUAUUAAAUAUAUAAUAAAUAAAAUAAAUUCUUUUAUAAUCUUAAUUUUAUUACUAAACUUUUUAUACGUAAUAUAAAUUAAAACUAAGGUCUAUAUUAUUAUGAAUCGUUAUUCAUAUAUAUAUAUAUAUAUAUAUAUAUAUAUGUAUGUAUGUAUUACUUUAAAAGGGUUAUAUGUUAUGAUUUUAACUUUAUUUUAAUAUAUAUAAUAUGUAUUUACAAAUAUAGAUAGAAAAUAUUAGACACAUAAACUUAUGUAUAUAUAUACAGGUUUAUAUAUAAUAAAAUUAAAAUAUUCUAGUAUAUGUAUAUUUAUAUAUAAGUCUAUAUGAGUAAACAUAUCAACCUAUAUAGAUAAAAAUAUAUACUAAUAUUUAUCUUUAUAUAUAUGAACAUAAAUAUAUCCAAAUAUUUAUAUAUUUAAACAUAUGUAUAUAUACAAAAAUAUAUAUAAUCACAUAUAUAUACAUAUAACCAUAAACAUUAAAAAAUAUUUAUGUAAUUGGAUGUGUAUAUAUGAAAAUAUACAAAUAAAUAUAUAUAAACAAAAAUUAACAUAGACAUAAUAACAAAUAAAUAUAUAUAAAUAAAUAUUAAAAUAUACAUAAUAACAAAUAAAUAUUAAUAUAUAUAUAUAUAUAUAUAAACAAAUAAAUAAAUAUAUUUAUAUGAAUGCGUAUAUAUAUAUAUAUAUAUAUAUAUAUAUAUAUAUAUAUAUAUAUAUAUAUAUAGGUACGUACACGCUUAUCAAAUAAAUAUGUCAUAUAUACAUGAUAUUAUAAACAUUAAUAUAUAAAUUAAAUAUAUAUAUAUAUCAUAUAUUUAUCAUUUAUAUGUAUAAAUUUAUAUACGUAAAAUCUUUUUUAUAUAUUUUCUUUUUUUUAUGUUUUUUUUGUUUUAUUAACAAAUAAAUAGAUAUAAAAGAAAUUUUAGUUACAUUCAAUUAAAAGAAGAAAAUAAUAAUAAUAUUAAUUGAUUUUAUUUAGUACUAUAUAAAGUUUUCCUGUUAGAAUAAAUAUAUGAAAAACAUAUAAUAAAUGAAAGAUUUUAAAAAAUAUAUAUAUAUUUGUUAUAAAAAAUUAUAAUAAACUAAACAAAACGUGCGUGCAUAUGUAAUAUACAUAUAUUUUAUUAAAGAUGUAAUUUAAUAUCAAAAUUAAUAAUAUAGUUUAUUAUCCAAUUAAUGUUUUAAGAAUAUGAUAACUUAAAGAAUUUACUAUUUUAAGAAUUAUAUGAUUUAAGAAUAUUCGAGCGAUCGAAUUAUCGAAAUAAUGAACCAAAUAAAAAAAAAAAAAAAAAAAAAAAAAAAACUAAAUAUAAAAUAUAUAUUAAAAGGGAUUUACUAAGAAAAAGAAAUGAUGUGUAUCAUAAUGAUGUAGUUAUCAAAAUAAAUUUUUUUUUUGGUUAUAUUAAUGUUAUUAUUUAUAAAUAAUUAUUUAUUUUUUUUUUUUUAUACAUGCCCAUUUCGUGUCUUUUUUUUAGAAAUAUAUCUUUUGUAAUAUUUGUUAUUUAUAUAUAAUUUACUUAAUGUGUUUAUUAUACAAUAGUUUUGUUAGUUGUAACUAAUUCUAGAAGACAUAAAAUGAACAUAUUAUAAAUUUUAAAUAAUCAACAUGGAUUAUUUAUUAUUUGAAUGUGUCCUUAAAUUAUGGAUGAUCCUAAUAUUAUAUAACUUAAAUAAAUCACUUAAGACGUUUAAAUUUUUUAUACAUUAUUCAAAAUAAUAUGGCAUAUCAAUAUUUUCUUUAGGAAUAUAAAUAUAUAUAUAUAUAUAUAAGAACCCUUCUUAUAUUAUAUAAUAAUGUAAUUUCUUGUUAAAACAAAAAAGGAAAUAAAUGUACAUAUAUUUAAGAAAAAAAAAGUAUAUAUAUAUAUAUAUAUAUAAUUUAAGAAUCUGUAAUUUAUUAUGUUAGUUUAUUCUGUAAUUUUUUAUAUGUAACACAUAUAUAUCUUUGACUUAGCUAUAUAUAUAUAUAUAUAUAUAUAUAUAUAUAUUAGAAAUUAUUUUGUUUAGUAUUAUACUAAUUAAUCAAUAUAAAAUUUUAUAAUAAAAUAUUAGGCUAUAGUUGUAUUAUCUUUAUAUCAAUGUCAUAUUUCCCUAUGAUUAUCCCCAUAAAAUGCAAAUAAUAACUUAGAUGUUGUAAAAUAUAGUAUCUUAGAACAUAUAACAUUUUGAGAAUAAAAAAGCAAAAUAAAACAAAUUUAACAAUUUAUUUAUAGUUUUUUAUGUUAUUAUAUAUUGUAAAACAUCAGUAUUCUUAACGAAUUAAUAGACACAUCUAAGUUCAUUUAAGAAGAGAUAUAUUUUUAGUUAUUUUAUAAUUAUUCAUUAUAUUUUUUUUUUUUUUUUUUUUUUUUUUUCUGAAUACAUAUAAUUUCAUUUUAUUUAAAAAUAUAACAACAUUUAAGAAUUUUGAUUUAUAUAAGAAAUAUUUUGCCUCACACAGUUUCUCUUUAUCUUAAUUUUUAUUUUAUUUCAUUCUUUAUUUAUUAUUUUUUCUUUAUAUAUAUUAUAUAUUUUUCCAUUCCCUAUUUAAUAUUACAUUUAUUUAAAAAUAUAAGUGGAA